Non-coding RNA from Picea glauca (white spruce), 62 nucleotides. Lineage: Eukaryota; Viridiplantae; Streptophyta; Pinopsida; Pinales; Pinaceae. The record is from Rfam.
GGGCAUGUAACUAAGUGGUAGAGUAUGCUUAUAAGUCCUGGGUUUGAUUCCUAGCCUGUCCA